UCCGUAGGCGGGCGAUUAAGUCAGAGGUGAAAUCCCACAGCUUAACUGUGGAACUGCCUUUGAUACUGGUCGUCUUGAGUUAUAGUGAAGUAGAUAGAAUAUGUAGUGUAGCGGUGAAAUGCUUAGAUAUUACAUAGAAUACCGAUUGCGAAGGCAGUCUACUAACUAACAACUGACGCUAAUGGACGAAAGCGUGGGGAGCGAACAGGAUUAGAUACCCUGGUAGUCC
Molecule: ribosomal RNA, 229 nt
Filed under: uncultured bacterium
Lineage: Bacteria
Description: partial 16S ribosomal RNA
Rfam family: Bacterial small subunit ribosomal RNA
Source: RNAcentral